This is a long non-coding RNA of Nerophis ophidion (straightnose pipefish), 1004 nucleotides long. RefSeq lists it as uncharacterized. The record is from RefSeq and is a predicted model, not a curated record. The transcript has 4 exons. NCBI's taxonomy places the organism in Eukaryota, Metazoa, Chordata, Actinopteri, Syngnathiformes, Syngnathidae.
UAUGAGCGCUACGCACACACACACACACAGGUAAAAGUCGUCUGCUUUGAGGGCAUAAUUACACAGUAUUUUGGAGAUCUGUGUUGCUGAAUCUUUUGCAAUUUGUUCAAUUAAUAUUGGAGAAGUCACAGUAGAAAGAUGGAGUUGGGAAGCUUUAGCCUUUGGCCACACACUUGUUUAAAAUUCCCGGAGCUGAAACUUUACUAUGGAUCAGAGCGCGGUCAAGCAGACAUGGAUCCCAACCGAAUGUCAACCAGCAGGUUUCGCUGCCGUCGACACCCGUGAGACAUGGCGUCAACACACCCGUGGACAAACCCCUCCAACUACCAGCCCUCGUGUUACCACUGCUGUUUCCCUCCUGGACCUGGUUUGCCUUUCCCGAUCCUUGACCCUGCUUGGACUUUCGGACUCUCUCUCUUGCCUUUGACCCUCGCUUGGACCUUGGACUUCCCCUGGCUUCUCCCUCCUCGGAUUUUGGACCCUGAACAUCCAACACGCACCUCAACAAACCUCACGCUGCCAGACCACGAUUCCCAUUAGGAUGGCAGUAUAUGGGACAGGAUUUUAUGAUGUGUCUGCAUUCUGCUCCUCUGCACUACACUCACAUGCCACAGAUGAAGGGUCUCAUUUCAUCAGCCUCCACGCGGCGAGACACAGAAACUGGAAACAAUUCAAUGACUUUUAGGCUAAUGAUGAAUACACGGAGACGCUCCCGGGGUGUUAAAAGGCUAGUCCCUCAGCCCGAGAAACAAAGAGGCGACAAACCUAAAAAGUGCCUGAAAGAUAUUUAUUGGCAUUGACAUGCAUUGCAUCGAACAUCAUUCCUGACCAUAAGACCAUGCUAUUUUUGUAAUACACAAAUGCAUUGCAGGUAGUCUGAAUAAAGGUGCUUUAAACUUGACUUUCAGGCUUUAUCUUUUAUACUUCAUAUUUUAGUCGACUAAAUUUACUGUAAUUUUAGCUGACUAAAAUGUUGUGUAGUUUUGUUGACUUAAACUAAACAA